CCUGCAGACGCAAGGCAGAGGCCUCCAGCCGCUCCAGCGACCCCGGCGCCUUCCCGCGCUGCGCCCGUCCUCGCCUCAGGCGGCGGCGGGCACGGAGCGGCGGGAGGGGGCGGAGCACCUCUGACGAGCAGGAGGAGGCGGGCGCCCCUUCCCGCAACUGCUUCGGCUGUGAGCGGCCCCCGCCUCCUCGCCGGUACCGGCCACGGCUGUACAGUGUCCGGCUAUCUCCUUCAUCCUUCCCGGGCCGGGGUGCCGUUCCUCACAUCUCCGCACCUCGCCACCCAACCCGCCGCACCGCCCCCGGGGUCGCCCCCUCCCGCCCUUUCCUUCCACUGACGCAGUCUUUGCCGCACCAGCUCUAACAUGGCGGCGAGGCACUGAGGAGCGCGGGGCGACGCGGGCCGCGAGCGGGAGUUUUGGAAGGAAGAAGUGAGCCAACUUCUCAGGAUUGCCCUGCAAAGCACAUUUUUGUGUGUCUGUCUGAAGUAACAACUUCACAAAGGAUGUUCAAGUAUAUUGAAAAAGAAACGCUCAUUUGACUUUUAGGUAGGUAGGAUAAAUAUCACUGAUAUUUUAGCCUGGCUUACUAGGCAAUGUCAGCUCAAGAGUUAGGUAUAUUUACUUGGCCUGGUAUUUGACCAGUCAGGGUGUUCAUACUGACCCUUUGACAUAACUGUCAUUUAGAACCAAUUGCAGUCAGUGCUCAAGGGAUUUUAUUGGAGGAUUUAGGGAAAGUGCAGGUAACAUUUAGAACACGGAAUAGGCUUGAUUUAUUUCAUGUUUUUGAGGCAAGAGAGAGGUAGAAAACCAUCAAAUUGAGCUAAAGGUUGUGAGAAUAGGGAUUCAGGUAGACUUCUUCAUUUAUUCCGUCUCUCUCUCACCCAGUUCUCCAUAAAACUGAGUUAAAAAUUGACUGACAUAAGUAUACUGACAUUUAUUUUACAGUUUGGCUUUAGUCAUUAUCAAUGCUUGAAACAAAAAAAUUGUGUGAUAUAUAAAGAUAGUUUCAUUUGUUUUGG
Pezoporus occidentalis (night parrot) is the source of this 1019-nucleotide long non-coding RNA. RefSeq lists it as uncharacterized. The transcript has 3 exons. Lineage: Eukaryota; Metazoa; Chordata; Aves; Psittaciformes; Psittacidae. The record is from RefSeq and is a predicted model, not a curated record.